Hordeum vulgare subsp. vulgare (domesticated barley) is the source of this 138-nucleotide non-coding RNA. Lineage: Eukaryota; Viridiplantae; Streptophyta; Magnoliopsida; Poales; Poaceae. The record is from Rfam.
CAUAUACUCCCUCCGUUCCAAAAUUAUUGUCUUAGAUUUAUCUAAAUGUAUGAAUGUGUCUAGUCACGCUUUAGUAUUUAGAUACAUCAAUUUUUAAACAUAACUAAGAUAAGAAUUUUGAGACGGAGAAAGUACAUA